RNAcentral lists this long non-coding RNA (377 nucleotides) under Chloebia gouldiae (Gouldian finch). RNAcentral describes it as "Erythrura gouldiae (Gouldian finch) lncRNA (ENSEGOG00005003981.1)". The record is from RNAcentral. Lineage: Eukaryota; Metazoa; Chordata; Aves; Passeriformes; Passeridae.
GUCGCUGUGCCUGGUGGUUGUCGAGUGCCUGUGUUUGUUUUUUUUGUGAUUUUCCUUUUCCCCACCUCCUGUUCUGAGCGAGGAUCAAGGAGGAGGGAUGGUGACCUCAUGGUGCAGUUAUGCAAUCUGCCAGAGCCAGCUGCUUGGAUUCCCAGGGAUUUGUUGUGGCCAUGCCUGCCUAACGGUUUGGAAAGCUGCUGCAGGGAAUGCUGCAUCCACGGGCAGGCUCUGGGAGCUGGCCCUGGAGACCUACAGCAGUGAGGAGAAGGUUGCCUGUUCUCCAGUGAAAUAAAGCAGUGCCUUCCCAGCAAUCCUGUUGUGAUGCUUGAGCUGCAGCAGAGUCACAUAUGGGAAGAAUAAGAGAGAAUAGCAUGUCU